This 520-nucleotide ribosomal RNA is filed under the name uncultured Scutellospora. RNAcentral's name for it is "SSU rRNA". It matches the Rfam family "Eukaryotic small subunit ribosomal RNA", at positions 569 to 1092 of the family's 1831-position model. Lineage: Eukaryota; Fungi; Glomeromycota; Glomeromycetes; Diversisporales; Gigasporaceae. The record is from RNAcentral.
AGCAGCCGCGGUAAUUCCAGCUCCAAUAGCGUAUAUUAAAGUUGUUGCAGUUAAAAAGCUCGUAGUUGAAUUUCGGGGUUCUACCGUUGGUCGGGCUAACCAGUCUGUACUAGCGUGUAGAAUUCCUACCUUCUGGGGAACCAUCAUGUUAUUAAUUUAGCGUGGUGGGAAACCAGGACCUUUACCUUGAAAAAAUUAGAGUGUUCAAAGCAGGCUUACGUCUGAAUACAUUAGCAUGGAAUAAUAAAAUAGGACGGUGGUCCUGUUUUGUUGGUUUCUGAAUCACCGUAAUGAUUAAUAGGGAUAGUUGGGGGCAUUAGUAUUCAAUUGUCAGAGGUGAAAUUCUUGGAUUUAUUGAAGACUAACUUCUGCGAAAGCAUUUGCCAAGGAUGUUUUCAUUAAUCAAGAACGAAAGUUAGGGGAUCGAAGACGAUCAGAUACCGUCGUAGUCUUAACCAUAAACUAUGCCGACUAGGGAUCGGAUGAUGUUAAAUUUUAUUGACUCGUUCGGCGCCUUACG